This 30-nucleotide non-coding RNA is filed under the name Mus musculus (house mouse). The record is from RNAcentral. Lineage: Eukaryota; Metazoa; Chordata; Mammalia; Rodentia; Muridae.
UCUAUAUUGUCUGCCUUUAGGUCUACUGCC